RNAcentral lists this ribosomal RNA (413 nucleotides) under uncultured bacterium. RNAcentral describes it as "bacterial SSU rRNA". It matches the Rfam family "Bacterial small subunit ribosomal RNA", at positions 505 to 916 of the family's 1533-position model. The record is from RNAcentral.
GUGCCAGCAGCCGCGGUAAUACCUAGGUGUCAAGCGUUAUCCGGAAUUACUGGGCGUAAAGGGUGCGCAGGCGGCGCGACAAGUCCGGCGUGAAAGCUUCUGGCUUAACUGGGAGAGGACGUCGGAAACUGUCGAGCUAGAGUGAAUGAGAGGGGGGCGGAAAUCCCGGUGUAGUGGUGGAAUGCGUAGAUAUCGGGAAGAACACCAGAGGCGAAGGCGGCCUCCUGGCAUUUUACUGACGCUGAGGCACGAAAGCGUGGGUAGCGAACGGGAUUAGAUACCCCGGUAGUCCACGCUGUAAACGAUGUGAACGAGGUGUGGGCGGUGUAGAAGCCGUCUGUGCCGGAGCAAACGCGAUAAGUUCACCGCCUGGGGAGUACGGUCGCAAGGCUAAAACUCAAAGAAAUUGACGG